AACGCUAGCUACAGGCUUAACCCAUGCNAGUCGAGGGGCAGCAUGAACUUAGCUUGCUAAGUUUGAUGGCGACCGGCGCACGGGUGAGUAACGCGUAUCCANCCUUCCGCUUACUCGGGGAUAGCCUUUCGAAAGAAAGAUUAAUACCCGAUGGUAUGAUGAGAUUGCAUGAUAGCAUCAUUAAAGAUUUAUUGGUAAGCGAUGGGGAUGCGUUCCAUUAGGUAGUAGGCGGGGUAACGGCCCACCUAGCCUACGAUGGAUAGGGGUUCUGAGAGGAAGAUCCCCCACAUUGGAACUGAGACACGGUCCAAACUCCUACGGGAGGCAGCAGUGAGGAAUAUUGGUCAAUGGACGAGAGUCUGAACCAGCCAAGUAGCGUGAAGGAUGAAGGUCCUACGGAUUGUAAACUUCUUUUAUAAGGGAAUAACGGACGCUACGUGUAGCGUUGUGCAUGUACCUUAUGAAUAAGCAUCGGCUAACUCCGUGCCAGCAGCCGCGGUAAUACGGAGGAUGCGAGCGUUAUCCGGAUUUAUUGGGUUUAAAGGGAGCGCAGACGGGAUGUUAAGUCAGCUGUGAAAGUUUGCGGCUCAACCGUAAAAUUGCAGUUGAUACUGGCGUUCUUGAGUGCAGUUGAGGUGUGCGGAAUUCGUGGUGUAGCGGUGAAAUGCUUAGAUAUCACGAAGAACUCCGAUUG
Molecule: ribosomal RNA, 694 nt
Filed under: uncultured bacterium
Lineage: Bacteria
Description: bacterial SSU rRNA
Rfam family: Bacterial small subunit ribosomal RNA
Source: RNAcentral